AUUGAACGCUGGCGGCAUGCCUUACACAUGCAAGUCGAACGGUAACGGGCCUUCGGGUGCCGACGAGUGGCGAACGGGUGAGUAAUGCAUCGGAACGUACCUUUCAGUGGGGGAUAACGUAGCGAAAGUUACGCUAAUACCGCAUAUUCUGUGAGCAGGAAAGCAGGGGAUCGCAAGACCUUGCGCUGAUUGAGCGGCCGAUGUCAGAUUAGCUAGUUGGUGAGGUAAAGGCUCACCAAGGCGACGAUCUGUAGCGGGUCUGAGAGGAUGAUCCGCCACACUGGAACUGAGACACGGUCCAGACUCCUACGGGAGGCAGCAGUGGGAAUUUUGGACAAUGGGGGCAACCCUGAUCCAGCCAUGCCGCGUGAGUGAAGAAGGCCUUCGGGUUGUAAAGCUCUUUCGGCCGGGAAGAAAUCGUAUGGGUUAAUACCCUGUGCGGAUGACGGUACCGGCAUAAGAAGCACCGGCUAACUACGUGCCAGCAGCCGCGGUAAC
Molecule: ribosomal RNA, 498 nt
Filed under: uncultured bacterium
Lineage: Bacteria
Description: bacterial SSU rRNA
Rfam family: Bacterial small subunit ribosomal RNA
Source: RNAcentral